UUGGAGGGCAAGUCUGGUGCCAGCAGCCGUUAGUAAUUCCAGCUCCAAUAGCGUAUAUUAAAGUUGUUGCAGUUAAAAAGCUCGUAGUUGAAUUUCGGGGUUAGUAGGUUGGUCAUGCCACUGGUAUGUACUGAUCUUACUGAUUCCUCCUUCCUGAUGAACCGUAAUGCCAUUAAUUUGGUGUUGCGGGGAGACUGGACUGUUACUUUGAAAAAAUUAGAGUGUUUAAAGCAGGCUAACGCUUGAAUACAUUAGCAUGGAAUAAUGAAAUAGGACGUUCGAUCCUAUUUUGUUGGUUUCUAGGAUUGACGUAAUGAUUAAUAGGGAUAGUUGGGGGCAUUAGUAUUCAAUUGUCAGAGGUGAAAUUCUUGGAUUUAUUGAAGACUAACUACUGCGAAAGCAUUUGCCAAGGAUGUUUUCAUUAAUCAAGAACGAAAGUUAGGGGAUCGAAGACGAUCAGAUACCGUCGUAGUCUUAACCAUAAACUAUGCCGACUAGGGAUCGGAUGAUGUUAAUUUUUUAAUGACUCAUUCGGCGCCUUACGGGAAAC
This 550-nucleotide ribosomal RNA is filed under the name uncultured Glomus. Its description in RNAcentral is "SSU rRNA". It matches the Rfam family "Eukaryotic small subunit ribosomal RNA", at positions 548 to 1098 of the family's 1831-position model. The record is from RNAcentral. Lineage: Eukaryota; Fungi; Glomeromycota; Glomeromycetes; Glomerales; Glomeraceae.